Molecule: long non-coding RNA, 331 nt
Filed under: Setaria viridis
Lineage: Eukaryota; Viridiplantae; Streptophyta; Magnoliopsida; Poales; Poaceae
Description: long non-coding RNA (SVIR_LNC003425)
Source: RNAcentral
GAUAUGGAAGGAAACAAUUGAUUGAAAAACCACAAGGUUGCUGGCGGGUAAUUAUUAAUUUUCAUACAACACCACCGCAUGGUUGCUGGUGGGUACAAAAACAAAAAGAAAGGGCAUGAUGUCAAGAAAAUGGGUGCGGGCGGGAUUUAGAAUGGCGGAUUACGACGAAAUGAAUCCCCCUCGUCGUAAUCUUCUGUAGGGGAACACCUGAGGGUCCUCUAUGAGGGGUAUGUGGGUAUAACUUUGGGUGGGAAUUGGCAUCAAUUCUCUCAAUUCUUUAUAGUAGAUUUGCAUGGCCCCUUUGGAUGUGAUGAAUAGUACAAUCUCCAAG